CUCAUAAAAAUGCAUUUCAUAAUAUAUAUAUAUAUAUAUAUAUAUAUAUAUAGAGAGAGAGAGAGAGAGAGAGAGAGAGAGAGAAUUCUCGGUCAUUACACAACCUAUAAACUCCCACAACCAAGCAUGCAUCUCUACCUAGAAUCAUAUAUACUAGCUUAACUUACAAAAUUAUAAUUAGGUUAUGAACCUCUUGAAUGCUUUCUUUCUUCUAGCAAUAAAGCUUAAGUACUUCUCCACCUUGAUCCUUCCUUCUUGAAUUCCACCAAAAGCAAGAAUUUCACUAGGUUUCUUCUUUUCUCUCCAUUUCUCUCUAAUUCUCUUAAGUCUUCAACACUUAGGAAUUUCAAUCAAAUGAAG
This 360-nucleotide long non-coding RNA is filed under the name Panax ginseng (ginseng). Its description in RNAcentral is "long non-coding RNA (PGIN_LNC006675)". Lineage: Eukaryota; Viridiplantae; Streptophyta; Magnoliopsida; Apiales; Araliaceae. The record is from RNAcentral.